UCUCUCUCUUGCCAUCAUCGCCAUAAUCAUCAUCAUCAUCAUUAUCAUCUCUUCUUUUAGGGUUGGAGGGAGAUGAGAAGAUCUAACCUCUAGUGUGGUGUUUGCACACUUUAACAGAUGAUCCUGUUUGUACUUUUCCACAGCUUUCUUGAACUGCAUGAUCAGUAUCCUGCUAACAAGCUACCUAGCGUAACAAAGUGGGGCUAUGCAUGGCUACUGCGGUUCAAUAAAGCUGUGGGAAGAUACGGAUAGGGUCUGGACUCUCUGGAUGCUCGUUGUCUCUUGCCUUUGUUAUCAAACCCAAACACACUCAUUGCCUUAAUUGGUACCAUCAAACCCAAAACUCGGCUUAGUUUCUUCACUUCUUCAUUUGCAUGAUGAACUAGUCUCCAAGACUGGAAUUAUCUCUUUGCACUCGCUGUACUGCUAAUGAAUCCAUCAGUUCUUUGGCUGUUCAACUGAUUGGAUAUAUUUUAUAUCUUCCAAGCAUUAGAUUCCACUACUGAUCAGAUAUGGUGGACCCAUCACUCUGUAUUUCUUGGUUAUCCUUCUGUAUGGAUUGAUAAAAUAACAAUUACCCAGUAUUUUCUAUACUUGAAGAAUCCAACUCAUAAUUCCAUAACAAGCAAGAUAACCCAUUGCCAAAUAAAAACCAACAUCUGAUGUAUGAGCAGGAGAUAUGACAGACCCCCCAUCAAUCAAUCUGGGUAUCUGGGAAGCUGUGAUGCAUGAGUUGUGAGUUGAUACUGUAAAAUCUUGCAUGGAUAUUUUUGAGAAAAAGCAAUGGAGUUUAGCCUUUCUAUUGCAGAACUGUCUACCACAAAAUGGGAAUCCGGUAAAAAUGAUUGUCCUCUUCUUUCCUUGAUUUCGGGGAUCCUGGACACUUCAAUCUGUGAUCUAUGUUUUUGUGUUUUUCUUUUCUCUGUGGUGAGUUGCAAUUAUUUCUGUAUUUCUUUCUGCAAAUAAUUGUUGAAACUCCAUAUAAGAAGCUGUAAGCUCUAACUACAAUAAGAUGCAUCCAAUUAUUGCUGUCUGAGUUCUCAACUUCUCAUGGACCUAAAUGGAUGCCUGUAAAGCACCAUCUAUAUCAGUCAGUCGACAAACUAACAACCUUCAGAGUCAUUUCCAGGAACCUGACUGCAUAUGAUCCACAGACAAACUGGCUAAUGGGGAUGAACUGAUCCAAUUAUUGCUCUAUUAUAUGGACCACACUGCUUGUUAUAUAGUUACUUGAAUGUUUUGCCUUUUGUCAUUUGGGGUUCCACCAAAAUUUGGUUUCCACAAGCUUUUGUACAGGUCGCUAAAAUGAAGGCUACAAAAGUUAGGUGAAGCCUUUAUCAGAAGAAGCAAAUAUCUAUACAAGUGAAUAACAAAAUAUGCACCACUGUUAUUUUAUCCUUCAGAAGGCAUAACCACAUGGAAAGUGGAAACCUUAUUGCAGAGAAAAAGCUUUAGAGAGUGAAGCUAACCUUUCUUGAUCCACCCAGGGAAAAAAAAAAAAAAGAAAUAAAGACCCAUCACUUACCCCACUCAAGUCUCUGUAGGGACAACGACAGAUGAGUUGUGUAAGGCCGAGGAUAAAGCGCAGGAGACAUAGGUUUGGUCUAGUCGAAGAGUAAGUUCUCUGCAUCAGAUCCUAGUUGUUCAUCCUUUCUCCUUGGAUGGUUGUAGUAGUAACUGUAUUUAUGACAAAGCAGUUUAAAUGACCCAAAUUAAGAACCAGACCAACAUGUACUGAGAAGGAGAGAGUUGACAAAAUCAUUUAUAGGAGUAGAUGACUCCUGUACAAGUCCACAUAAGUUACAGCUUUACAUGCGCAAACUUACUACUUCUCCCAAAGGAAUGAAUCAAUGUUCUUGUGGGAUAUCUGGUUGUGAGCAUCUUAAUUGCCAACAACUUUGGGUAUCUGGCUGUCCAACCAGCAGUCGUAUCUCUUCACUCAACAUCCUACCCAUUGUCACGUCGUGUUCGGCCAGAAAACUAAAUGGGUUAUACAAUUUUGUGUUUAAUGUUAUGACUGGAAAGAUAUUAGUCGGAUCACGGAUGCUUCUUCUUCUUCUUCUUCCUCUUCUUCAUACCAAGUUCUAUUAUUUACUGGGCAGAUUCCAUACUUGUAAUUUAAGUCGCUGUUCAAGGCAGAAAAGCAAUAUUCUAUCUA
Nelumbo nucifera (sacred lotus) is the source of this 2158-nucleotide non-coding RNA. The record is from RefSeq and is a predicted model, not a curated record. NCBI's taxonomy places the organism in Eukaryota, Viridiplantae, Streptophyta, Magnoliopsida, Proteales, Nelumbonaceae.